This is an RNA transcript of Drosophila elegans, 1451 nucleotides long. It is a transcript of the gene named serine/arginine-rich splicing factor 2, with no coding region annotated. The record is from RefSeq and is a predicted model, not a curated record. The transcript has 5 exons. Lineage: Eukaryota; Metazoa; Arthropoda; Insecta; Diptera; Drosophilidae.
CUGAAGCAACGUCACUGGUGCCGGACGCCAUUUUAGCAGAGUGAAAAUAAUUGUCGCCAGAUAAACUUGCUUUGAACAGACGUGCGUUUUGGGAAAUAAUUAAAAUCUCAAUAUAGAUAAUGAGUAACGGUGCAAGUGCCGGGGGAUUGGGCGCAGCGCGUCCUCCGCCCAGAAUCGAUGGAAUGGUCUCGCUGAAGGUCGACAAUCUCACAUACCGCACCACGCCGGAGGAUCUGCGUCGGGUCUUUGAAAGAUGCGGCGAGGUAGGCGACAUCUACAUACCCAGGGAUCGCUACACGCGCGAAAGCCGCGGUUUUGCCUUCGUUCGCUUCUAUGACAAACGUGAUGCUGAGGACGCACUGGAGGCCAUGGACGGUCGCAUGUUGGACGGCAGGGAGCUUCGUGUACAGAUGGCCCGCUACGGCCGCCCGUCGUCGCCCACACGUAGCUCGAGUGGUCGUCGUGGCGGAGGAGGUGGAGGUGGAUCCGGCGGACGUCGUCGCUCACGAUCCCGCUCCCCGAUGCGUCGCCGUUCGCGCAGCCCGCGGCGCCGCUCGUAUUCCCGUUCCCGCUCGGCUGGCAGCCAUUCACCGGAACGCCGCUCCAAGUUCUCGCGCAGUCCUGUCCGCGGCGACAGUCGCAACGGAAUCGGAAGCGGGUCCGUGGCAAUAGUCGCAGCCGCGUCUCGCAGUCGCAGUCGCUCCUAAAUAUGACAAAAACGUUCCAUCAUGUUAGAGUGCGAGAUAUGGCUCGCUGACAAAGCCAGAUUCCGACUCCUGUUAAGGAUCUGUGGCUCCUCCUGUGUCAUGCUGUACCCGAACAGCAGGCAGUUGGUGUGUGGCAGUUGUUGCGGUUCUGAUAAGAUUGUGGUUAAAUCGCGAGGGAGGAUCAGCAGCAGCGCAUCAUCCAAGCUACAACUCCUUUCUCCUUCCUCCUGGGAGCGGACAUCGCGUGGCUGCUGUUGCUGCUGCUGCUGCUGCUGCAGAUGCUGUUGCUGUCGCUGACGCACGUUGCCGUUGCUGGUGCCGCUGAUGUUGCAGUUGCAGAUGCAGCUUGCUGUUUCCUGUUAGCCGCUGUCACAGCUCCAGAUUCUGCGAUUCUCCAGCUUGGGAGCUGGGAGUAGCAGUCACUCAUAGUUUCCUGUUUCCCGACACUUCUUCUCUCGUCUCGUCUCGUCUCAUCUCGUCUCGUCUCGCGAUUUGUAGCUGGUUGGCGUUGUUGGUGUUUUCCUGUAUGUUGGUGGGCGUCCCCUUUUGAGUUUAGGCGAAAAAACAUUUCCAGCCGAGCUAUGUUGGUGAUGCAAUGGAUGUCGGAGUUAGGACCUCGAACUGUGACUAGGCCUCGUUGGAUUUCUUCAAGGACUUAAUUGGGUGAGUCGGACAGCUAACUUUUUUUUAUUACAGCUUUUAAAAAAAAAAUUAUUCAAUAAAAUGUAAUUCCAUUUAAAUGUA